This 119-nucleotide ribosomal RNA is filed under the name uncultured bacterium. Its description in RNAcentral is "partial 16S ribosomal RNA". It matches the Rfam family "Bacterial small subunit ribosomal RNA", at positions 1365 to 1482 of the family's 1533-position model. The record is from RNAcentral.
AAUACGUUCCCGGGCCUUGUACACACCGCCCGUCAAGUCACGAAAGUCGGUAACACCCGAAGCCGGUGGCCCAACCCUUGUGGGGGGAGCCGUCGAAGGUGGGACUGGCGAUUGGGACU